RNAcentral lists this ribosomal RNA (582 nucleotides) under Kneiffiella subglobosa. Its description in RNAcentral is "partial small subunit ribosomal RNA". It matches the Rfam family "Bacterial small subunit ribosomal RNA", at positions 362 to 947 of the family's 1533-position model. The record is from RNAcentral. Lineage: Eukaryota; Fungi; Basidiomycota; Agaricomycetes; Hymenochaetales.
UAUUAGUCAAUGCUCGCAAGAGUGAACUAGCUAACUGAAAUCAUCGAUGUGUCAUUGAUGAUAACGUAAGGGAAAAUAAUGAUAUUACCUUACUAUUAGUGUCGUCCAAAUACUCGUGCCAGAAGACUCGGUAAGGCGAGAGACGCAAACGUUAGUCGUCUUGAUCAGGCGUAAAGGGUUUGUAGGCUGCUCUAAGAAUUUAACUUAAGAAAUUUACUUUAAAUUUAUAUAAUAAAAUAUAUUUAUUUAAUACUUAUUUUUAAAUCAUUUAGAGCUAGAAUCAAAAAGAGGUUAAGAUAUUUAAUGCUUAGUGUAAGGUUGAAAUCCAUAAAUAUUAAGUAGAAAACUAUGGGCGAAGGCUUUUUUCCAAUAAUGAUUGACGCUGAGAAACUAAGGUGAGGACAGAAAAAAGGAUUAGAGACCCUCGUAUUCCUCACUGUCAACAAUGAAUGGAAGUUACUAGUAAAAAAUACUAGAGGCGAUGUUAACACGAAAAACCAUUCCGCCUUGUGAGUACGACUGCAAAGUUGAAAACAAAAAAAUUAGUCGGUUUCGGAGCAAACGAAGUGAAGCAUGUUAUUU